CCCCUAGUAGCGGCGAGCGAAGCGGGAAGAGCUCAAAUUUAUAAUCUGGCACCUUCGGUGUCCGAGUUGUAAUCUCUAGAAGUGUUUUCCGCGUUGGACCGCACACAAGUCUGUUGGAAUACAGCGGCAUAGUGGUGAGACCCCCGUAUAUGGUGCGGACGCCCAACGCUUUGUGAUACACUUUCGAAGAGUCGAGUUGUUUGGGAAUGCAGCUCAAAUUGGGUGGUAAAUUCCAUCUAAAGCUAAAUAUUGGCGAGAGACCGAUAGCGAACAAGUACCGUGAGGGAAAGAUGAAAAGCACUUUGGAAAGAGAGUUAACAGUACGUGAAAUUGUUGGAAGGGAAACGCUUGAAGUCAGACUUGCUUGCCGAGCAAUCGGUUUGCAGGCCAGCAUCAGUUUUCCGGGGUGGAUAAUGGUAGAGAGAAGGUAGCAGUUUCGGCUGUGUUAUAGCUCUUUGCUGGAUACACCUUGGGGGACUGAGGAACGCAGUGUGCCUUACGGCGGAUUUCUCGAGAUCUUCACACUUAGGAUGCUGGUGGAAUGGCUUUAAACGACCCGUCUUGAAACACGAGUACCGCCAAA
This 583-nucleotide ribosomal RNA is filed under the name Rhodotorula taiwanensis. RNAcentral describes it as "partial large subunit ribosomal RNA". It matches the Rfam family "Eukaryotic large subunit ribosomal RNA", at positions 77 to 664 of the family's 3401-position model. Lineage: Eukaryota; Fungi; Basidiomycota; Microbotryomycetes; Sporidiobolales; Sporidiobolaceae. The record is from RNAcentral.